This 67-nucleotide transfer RNA is filed under the name Marmota monax (woodchuck). Its description in RNAcentral is "tRNA.Ala". Lineage: Eukaryota; Metazoa; Chordata; Mammalia; Rodentia; Sciuridae. The record is from RNAcentral.
GGUCAUGGCUCAGUGGUAGAGCACUUGCCUAGCAUGUGUGAGGCACUGGGUUCAAUUCUCAGCACCA